GACGAACGCUGGCGGCGUGCCUAAUACAUGCAAGUAGGACGCUGAAGGAGGAGCUUGCUUCUCUGGAUGAGUUGCGAACGGGUGAGUAACGCGUAGGUAACCUGCCUGGUAGCGGGGGAUAACUAUUGGAAACGAUAGCUAAUACCGCAUAAUAGUAGAUGUUGCAUGACAUUUGCUUAAAAGGUGCAAUUGCAUCACUACCAGAUGGACCUGCGUUGUAUUAGCUAGUUGGUGGGGUAACGGCUCACCAAGGCGACGAUACAUAGCCGACCUGAGAGGGUGAUCGGCCACACUGGGACUGAGACACGGCCCAGACUCCUACGGGAGGCAGCAGUAGGGAAUCUGCGGCAAUGGACGGAAGUCUGACCGAGCAACGCCGCGUGAGUGAAGAAGGUUGUCGGAUCGUAAAGCUCUGUUGUAAGAGAAGAACGAGUGUGAGAGUGGAAAGUUCACACUGUGACGGUAUCUUACCAGAAAGGGACGGCUAACUACGUG
Molecule: ribosomal RNA, 495 nt
Filed under: uncultured bacterium
Lineage: Bacteria
Description: partial 16S ribosomal RNA
Rfam family: Bacterial small subunit ribosomal RNA
Source: RNAcentral